UGGGGCAUAUUGCACAAUGGGGGAAACCCUGAUGCAGCGACGCCGCGUGAACGCAGAAGGUAUUCGUAUCGUAAAGUUCUGUCCUAUGGGAAGAUAAUGACAGUACCAUAGAAGAAAGCUCCGGCUCAAUACGUGCCAGCGGCCGCGGUAAUACGUAUGUAGCGAGCGUUGUCCGGCAUCAUUGGGCGUAAAGGGUACGCAGGCGGUUUAAUAAGUCGAAUGUUAAAGAUCGGGGCUCAACCCCGCAAAGCAUUGGAAACUGAUAAACUUGAGUAGUGGAGAGGAAAGUGGAAUUCCUAGUGUAGUGGUGAAAUACGUAGAUAUUAGGAGGAAUGCCAGUAGCGAAGGCGACUUUCUGGACACAAACUGACGCUGAGGUACGAAAGCGUGGGGAGCAAACAGG
This 403-nucleotide ribosomal RNA is filed under the name bacterium. RNAcentral describes it as "partial 16S ribosomal RNA". It matches the Rfam family "Bacterial small subunit ribosomal RNA", at positions 355 to 776 of the family's 1533-position model. The record is from RNAcentral.